Non-coding RNA from Gymnothorax javanicus (giant moray), 72 nucleotides. The record is from the annotation of a GenBank genome assembly. Lineage: Eukaryota; Metazoa; Chordata; Actinopteri; Anguilliformes; Muraenidae.
GGCGCAGUGGCCAAGCGGUAAGGCAGCGGUCUCGUAAACCGAAGAUUAUGGGUUCGACCCCCAUCUGUGCCU